GACGAACGCUGGCGGCGUGCUUAACACAUGCAAGUCGAACGGUGAAGCGCCUUCCUUUUUGGUGGGUGUGGAUGAGUGGCGAACGGGUGAGUAACACGUGAGUAACCUGCCCCCUUCUUCUGGAUAACCGCAUGAAAGUGUGGCUAAUACGGGAUAUUCUGGGUCUGUCGCAUGAUGGGUCUGGGAAAGAUAUUGUUUCGGUGGGGGAUGGGCUCGCGGCCUAUCAGCUUGUUGGGGGGGUGAUGGCCUACCAAGGCGGUGACGGGUAGCCGGCCUGGGAGGGUGGACGGUCACACGGGGACUGGGACACGGCCCAGACUCCUACGGGAGGCAGCAGUGGGGAAUAUUGCACAAUGGGCGCAAGCCUGAUGCAGCGACGCCGCGUGAGGGAUGGAGGCCUUCGGGUUGUGAACCUCUUUCGCCAGUGAAGCAGGCCUGCCUCGUUUGUGGGUGGGUUGACGGUAGCUGGAUAAGAAGCGCCGGCUAACUACGUG
This 494-nucleotide ribosomal RNA is filed under the name uncultured bacterium. RNAcentral's name for it is "partial 16S ribosomal RNA". It matches the Rfam family "Bacterial small subunit ribosomal RNA", at positions 28 to 507 of the family's 1533-position model. The record is from RNAcentral.